Spea bombifrons (plains spadefoot toad) is the source of this 286-nucleotide long non-coding RNA. RefSeq lists it as uncharacterized. The transcript is spliced from 3 exons. The record is from RefSeq and is a predicted model, not a curated record. NCBI's taxonomy places the organism in Eukaryota, Metazoa, Chordata, Amphibia, Anura, Pelobatidae.
UACUAGGGUGGAGCUUAAACUCUUUAUAGUCGCUGCGGAAUGAGGUGCCAGGGUUACCGGAUGGCUUUGAUUAACCCGUUCGGGACCGGGUUUUUUUUCAUACUCUAAAGACCAGAAUUUGUCAUUUUUAUUUUUAGCAAUAUGUUGGUAAACCAUUAUUCUCAUUUUCCAUUUUUGAUGUGCUCACGGAAGUUAGACACUGAAUUCUUCUACACAGUAGGGACUGUUCCUCCUAAGAGGGACACUUGGGAAGUGAGUUACAGAUGGAGUCCCAUUGGAAAAAACA